This is a long non-coding RNA of Mustela putorius furo (domestic ferret), 1677 nucleotides long. The record is from Ensembl. NCBI's taxonomy places the organism in Eukaryota, Metazoa, Chordata, Mammalia, Carnivora, Mustelidae.
AGCCACUGGACACUCAAUCACCCCUGAGGUGGAUGAUGGUCAGUUCUUCUUGUUUUUUUCUUUUUUUAAGUUUUUUUUUUUUUUUUGAUUUUAAGUCCCAUAUUGUUAACCUACAGUGUAAUACUGGUUUCAGCUGUAAAACAUAGUUAUUCAACACUUCCAUACUUCACCAGCUGCUUAUCGUGCUACGUUUCUGCUUAAUCCUAACAGGGUGUCUUUCUAUCUGGCAACCUUACAUUUCUGUCACCCGUCACUGCCAUAAUGCGGAGUACAGGACAGCAUCUCCCUGUCUACACAGGAGUCCAGGUGGACCUGGCAUCACACCUGCACAGAGGCCAGGUCUCUUGGAGUCAGGAGUGAAGAGCGUGUGGGCAACAGAAGACAUCGCAGACCCGGUUGCUAAAGCUCCUCUCUGAGCCGUGGGAGUGGGAGCCAGGGAAGGAAAAAGAAAAACCCCAAAGGCAUCGCUUCGGUGUGAGUGACCAGUGGCCCUUCCUGUUGGUCACCUCCCCACCUUACCCGCCCCACACCCCCAGCUUCUGGAGACCAGCUCUCCUCUCCCUUCUCUGUGCGUGUUUCUCCAUAACCACCGCCAAGCUCCUCACGGUGAAGAAAGCAAGCCAGGUGAGGGCCCGUGGAGGAGGUCGAGGGCAGGAAGAGGCCCGAAGACCGGCUUCGGCUGGGGCAGGUGCUCCAGCGGGGCUCGGGGAGCCAGGCUCUGCCCACAGGCCUCGGGAGAGGAACGAGCACUUCAGCCGCCGGGCACCAGCUCGCCUGGAGGACCGGCCUGCUCUGCACCUCAUACAAAUUACCCAGAGACUCCUCUUGGUGCCGGCCCCGAUAAUUGCACUGAUAAGGAAGCGGGGGUAGGAAAUGAAUCAAUGGCCCCACACAGGUUUCCUGAGUAUCAGUCUAUCGAAUUACUGCAACUCUAUUGCCCUCUCCUUCCGAGGGUCAUGAGCUAUCUGUCUUGCUCACGAGUGCUGGUGUAGCGCUGAGGCCCGGGUGUAUCACUGUCCCUCAGGUUUACAUUUGCUCCCUCUGCCUCUAGAAGGCUUGUCGGAGUCUCUCUCCAGCUUGGCUUGCUUCCCGCGUUCCCUCCUCCACCUCCUCAGCUUUCCCCUCUGGUCGCCCCGACACACACACACACACACACACACUCACACACACACACACACUCACACACACACACCGCUGCUCUGACUGGCCCAUCAUGGCCCCAAUCCUGGAGUCUUAUUAACUGUAGCUGGAUGAGCCAUCUGAGAGGUAGGAAGACCGUGAGGGGACGCAAGGCUCUGCUGGUCCCCUCCAGCCUAGGUCACCUCUCAUAACACGUGGCAUCUAGCUUACAGGUGAUGCUGUCACCUCGCACCAAAGCCGGGUGGUGGGUCUGAGAGCAAGUGGGGCCCCUCUACAGGUGACAAGCAUAUGGAAUGCAGCCCUCAGGGGUCUGUCACAAGAGGAGGCCAGGCCCCAGAGGAAGCUGCGGAGUUCUACCCACCAGCUUCGCUGACGAGCGCCACAGAGAGAGACCACGUGCUGAACAGUCAUCAUUCCUCGUUGGAAUGGGAGGUGGAGGUAGAGAAUAAAGGCAGAAAGGGAGGUUUCAGGGAUGCGAGAAAGAAAAGCCCCUUGGAGAAGUUUGGAAAGAACCCAAAUACAUGGAGACUAAACAGU